RNAcentral lists this ribosomal RNA (497 nucleotides) under uncultured bacterium. Its description in RNAcentral is "partial 16S ribosomal RNA". It matches the Rfam family "Bacterial small subunit ribosomal RNA", at positions 28 to 507 of the family's 1533-position model. The record is from RNAcentral.
GAUGAACGCUGGCGGCGUGCCUAAUACAUGCAAGUCGAGCGAACAGACCAGGAGCUUGCUCCUCUGACGUUAGCGGCGGACGGGUGAGUAACACGUGGAUAACCUACCUAUACGACUGGGAUAACUUCGGGAAACCGGAGCUAAUACCGGAUAAUAUAUUGAACUGCAUGGUUCACUAGUUAAAGACGGUUUUGCUUUCACUUAUAGAUUGAUCCGCGCCGCAUUAGCUAGUUGGUAAGGUAACGGCUUACCAAGGCAACGAUGCGUAGCCGACCUGAAAGGGAGAUCGGCCACCCUGGAACUGAGACACGGUCCAGACUCCUACGGGAGGCAGCAGUAGGGAAUCUUCCGCAAUGGGCGAAAGCCUGACGGAGCAACGCCGCGUGAGUGAUGAAGGUCUUCGGAUCGUAAAACUCUGUUAUUAGGGAAGAACAAAUGUGUAAGUAACUAUGCACGUCUUGACGGUACCUAAUCAGAAAGCCACGGCUAACUACGUG